Long non-coding RNA from Electrophorus electricus (electric eel), 1000 nucleotides. RefSeq lists it as uncharacterized. NCBI's taxonomy places the organism in Eukaryota, Metazoa, Chordata, Actinopteri, Gymnotiformes, Gymnotidae. The record is from RefSeq and is a predicted model, not a curated record.
CUUUGCGCUUCACGUCCAGAAUCAAGCCCCCAAACAGCCUAUAUUCACACAGAGACUGAAUGGCAUUUAAUUACCACUUCUUCCAAAAUUCAUGAAUCCCUCUCUGCCAGUGUUGUCCAUGAUCAAAGCCUUGUUACCAUCGAUACAAAAGUGGUCAUACAUGCACUGAGAUGUAGGGAAAAUAUAGAUGUUGUCACUGAAGAUAUUUUUCCACUAUUACUGCAGUACAUGUACUGCUGGAACAACUGACUCUCAGUUUGGCUGAUCUGAUGAGUUUUUUGCUUAUGCCCUGUUAGCAUACCACACCAUUCAGGGUGAUGUUGAUGAAAAUCUAUGGCCAAAUUCAGUGGACAGGAUGGAUGGACCAGGCCAACAGUAGACAUCUGAUACUGAUAGGAAGACAAAUAUGUGUUAAUUAUUGUAGCUAUAUAGUGAAAAUAUUGAUUUGGUAUUACAGUACUUUGUUAUUGAUAGUAUGUAUAUUUCUUUUGCACUGGCAAUAUACUGUAUUUUGCAAACAAAUUGCAAAUACAGCAAACCCACUGAAGAAUAGUGGGUCAGUCAUGGUAUCUAUUGUGAAAGGUAAGCCAACAGAUCAAACAUUUCUUUAGCUGGCUUGAAAUAUUUGUGAAUGCAGAAAUAGAGAAAAGGGAAACACAUAGUAUAUGUAUUUGCAGUGUUACACGUUGUCUGUAUUUUUAAGCUCAUUGUACAUUGAGAGACAAAGUAGUCUUGUGGGAGAAAGCAUGUCAUAGUUAUGACAGCAUGAGUCACUUUUGAAUGAAAUAUGAAGUGUUUUGGUGGUUGAUGUGCAUUUUGCUCCAAAUGUUAACUGAGUUCCAUGUUUUAAAAGCAUACUGUGUGAAGGAGUUUUGAAGAAGUGGACAUGAUAUUGUGACAAGUCUAAAAACAAUUGUAAAAAAAACUGUAAAUUAAGGUAAUUAAUGAUAUCAGUACCCAUCCAUACAUCCACGUGUAUGACGGUACAUGAAUGUAAUCA